Molecule: ribosomal RNA, 514 nt
Filed under: uncultured bacterium
Lineage: Bacteria
Description: partial 16S ribosomal RNA
Rfam family: Bacterial small subunit ribosomal RNA
Source: RNAcentral
GAUGAACGCUGGCGGCGUGCCUAAUACAUGCAAGUCGAGCGAACAGAUGAGAAGCUUGCUUCUCUGAUGUUAGCGGCGGACGGGUGAGUAACACGUGGGUAACCUACCUAUAAGACUGGGAUAACUCCGGGAAACCGGGGCUAAUACCGGAUAAUAUUUUGAACCGCAUGGUUCGAUAGUGAAAGGCGGUUUCGGCUGUCACUUAUAGAUGGACCCGCGCCGUAUUGGCUAGUUGGUAAGGUAACGGCUUACCAAGGCGACGAUACGUAGCCGACCUGAGAGGGUGAUCGGCCACACUGGAACUGAGACACGGUCCAGACUCCUACGGGAGGCAGCAGUAGGGAAUCUUCCGCAAUGGGCGAAAGCCUGACGGAGCAACGCCGCGUGAGUGAUGAAGGUCUUCGGAUCGUAAAACUCUGUUGUUAGGGAAGAACAAAUUUGUUAGUAACUGAACAAGUCUUGACGGUACCUAACCAGAAAGCCACGGCUAACUACGUGCCAGCCGCCGCAGUAA